CUUUGAUUUACAAGAGAUGUGAAAUAAUUUAUUUUAGUAAAAAUAUUGUGUAAACAUCCAUUUGUAUUGUUCAAAGCAUACAAUGAAAAAUGCAAUUGUUGUGGGCAGAGCAAAUUGAGAUAAUGAAGCAGAAAACAGAGGGCGACAUUCUAACAUUGGAAGACACCAGGAAGAUGAAAUAUACUUGGCAAGUGGCACGUGAAAGCAUGAGGCUUUUCCCUCCCAUCUUUGGCUCCUUCAGAAAAGCAAUUGUCGACAUUGAAUUUGAAGGAUUCAUUAUUCCUAGAGGAUGGAAG
RNAcentral lists this unclassified non-coding RNA (296 nucleotides) under Hevea brasiliensis (rubber tree). The record is from RNAcentral. Lineage: Eukaryota; Viridiplantae; Streptophyta; Magnoliopsida; Malpighiales; Euphorbiaceae.